GACGAACGCUGGCGGCGUGCCUAAUACAUGCCAGUUGAGCGAUGAAGCUUGGUGCUUGCACCAAUUUGAAGAGCAGCGAACGGGUGAGUAACGCGUGGGGAAUCUGCCUUUGAGCGGGGGACAACAUUUGGAAACGAAUGCUAAUACCGCAUAAUAACUUUAAACAUAAGUUUUAAGUUUGAAAGAUGCAAUUGCAUCACUCAAAGAUGAUCCCGCGUUGUAUUAGCUAGUUGGUGAGGUAAAGGCUCACCAAGGCGAUGAUACAUAGCCGACCUGAGAGGGUGAUCGGCCACAUUGGGACUGAGACACGGCCCAAACUCCUACGGGAGGCAGCAGUAGGGAAUCUUCGGCAAUGGACGAAAGUCUGACCGAGCAACGCCGCGGGAGGGAAGAAGGGUUUCGGAUCGUAAAACUCUGUUGGUAGAGAAGAACGUUGGUGAGAGUGGAAAGCUCAUCAAGUGACGGUAACUACACAGAAAGGGACGGCUAACUACGUG
Molecule: ribosomal RNA, 497 nt
Filed under: uncultured bacterium
Lineage: Bacteria
Description: partial 16S ribosomal RNA
Rfam family: Bacterial small subunit ribosomal RNA
Source: RNAcentral